Molecule: ribosomal RNA, 482 nt
Filed under: uncultured bacterium
Lineage: Bacteria
Description: partial 16S ribosomal RNA
Rfam family: Bacterial small subunit ribosomal RNA
Source: RNAcentral
GACGAACGCUGGCGGCGUGCUUAACACAUGCAAGUCGAACGAUGAAGCUGGAGCUUGCUCUAGCGGAUUAGUGGCGAACGGGUGAGUAACACGUGAGCAAUCUGCCCUUGACUCUGGGAUAACUGCGGGAAACUGUAGCUAAUACCGGAUACUUUCACCGGGGCAUCCUCUGGUGAUGAAAGAAUUUCGGUCAAGGAUGAGCUCGCGGCCUAUCAGCUUGUUGGUGAGGUAACGGCUCACCAAGGCGACGACGGGUAACCGGCCUGAGAGGGUGACCGGUCACACUGGGACUGAGACACGGCCCAGACUCCUACGGGAGGCAGCAGUGGGGAAUAUUGCACAAUGGGCGCAAGCCUGAUGCAGCAACGCCGCGUGAGGGAUGAAGGCCUUCGGGUUGUAAACCUCUUUUAGCAGGGAAGAAGCGAAAGUGACGGUACCUGCAGAAAAAGCACCGGCUAACUACGUGCCAGCAGCCGCAGUAA